RNAcentral lists this ribosomal RNA (253 nucleotides) under uncultured bacterium. RNAcentral's name for it is "partial 16S ribosomal RNA". It matches the Rfam family "Bacterial small subunit ribosomal RNA", at positions 524 to 776 of the family's 1533-position model. The record is from RNAcentral.
UACGUAGGGUCCGAGCGUUGUCCGGAAUUACUGGGCGUAAAGAGCUCGUAGGUGGUUUGUCGCGUUGUUCGUGAAAACUCACAGCUUAACUGUGGGCGUGCGGGCGAUACGGGCAGACUGGAGUACUGCAGGGGAGACUGGAAUUCCUGGUGUAGCGGUGGAAUGCGCAGAUAUCAGGAGGAACACCGGUGGCGAAGGCGGGUCUCUGGGCAACAACUGACGCUGAGGAGCGAAAGCGUGGGGAGCAAACAGG